GCCCCGUUCGUCUAGAGGCCAAGGAUAUCACCCUUUCACGGUGGAGACCCGGGUUCGAAUCCCGGUCGGGGCG
RNAcentral lists this transfer RNA (73 nucleotides) under Candidatus Pacearchaeota archaeon. RNAcentral describes it as "tRNA-Glu". It matches the Rfam family "tRNA". From Rfam's summary of the family: Transfer RNA (tRNA) molecules are approximately 80 nucleotides in length. Their secondary structure includes four short double-helical elements and three loops (D, anti-codon, and T loops). Further hydrogen bonds mediate the characteristic L-shaped molecular structure. tRNAs have two regions of fundamental functional importance: the anti-codon, which is responsible for specific mRNA codon recognition, and the 3' end, to which the tRNAs corresponding amino acid is attached (by aminoacyl-tRNA synthetases). tRNAs cope with the degeneracy of the genetic code in two manners: having more than one tRNA (with a specific anti-codon) for a particular amino acid; and 'wobble' base-pairing, i.e. permitting non-standard base-pairing at the 3rd anti-codon position. The record is from RNAcentral. Lineage: Archaea; Nanobdellati.